This 432-nucleotide ribosomal RNA is filed under the name Crypturgus borealis. Its description in RNAcentral is "partial 16S ribosomal RNA". Lineage: Eukaryota; Metazoa; Arthropoda; Insecta; Coleoptera; Curculionidae. The record is from RNAcentral.
UCGCAAUCUUCUUUGUCGAUUUGAACUCUCAAAAAAAAUUACGCUGUUAUCCCUAAGGUAGCUAUUUCUUAUAAUCUAAAACUUAGGAUCAAAUUUUCACAUAUCUGUGUUACAAAAAAAAAAAGUUAAUUAAAUUUUUUCAUCACCCCAACUAAAUACAACAAAACCAAUAAAAUUUUAAUGCCAAAUGUAUAAUAAUCAAGCUAUAUAAAGCUCUAUAGGGUCUUCUCGUCUUCUAUGCUCAUUUAAGCCUUUUCACUCAAAAAUAAAUUUCUAAAUAAUUUUCCACGAGACAGCAGCACCCUCAUUAAUCCAUUCAUUCCAGCUCCUAAUUAAAGAACUAAUUAUUAUGCUACCUUUGCACGGUCAAUAUACCGCGGCCAUUAAACUCUUCAUUGGGCAGGACUGACCUUAAAUUAUACUCAAAAGGCC